AUACGGAGGAUGCAAGCGUUAUCCGGAUUUAUUGGGUUUAAAGGGUGCGUAGGCGGUUUGCUAAGCGGGAGGUGAAAUGCCGGCGCUCAACGUCGGAAGUGCCUCCCGAACUGGUGGACUUGAAUGACUCUGCCGUGGGAGGAAUGUGUAGUGUAGCGGUGAAAUGCUUAGAGAUUACACAGAACACCGAUUGCGAAGGCAUCUCACGAAGGGUUGAUUGACGCUGAGGCACGAAAGCGUGGGGAUCAAACAGGAUUAGAUACCCUGGUAGUCCACGCAGUAAACGAUAAUGACUAACCGUCGGCGAUACACAGUCGGUGGCCAAGCGAAAGCGAUAAGUCAUCCACCUGGGGAGUACGUUCGCAAGAAUGAAACUCAAAUGAAUUGACGGGG
This 393-nucleotide ribosomal RNA is filed under the name uncultured bacterium. Its description in RNAcentral is "partial 16S ribosomal RNA". It matches the Rfam family "Bacterial small subunit ribosomal RNA", at positions 523 to 918 of the family's 1533-position model. The record is from RNAcentral.